Molecule: unclassified non-coding RNA, 606 nt
Filed under: Hevea brasiliensis (rubber tree)
Lineage: Eukaryota; Viridiplantae; Streptophyta; Magnoliopsida; Malpighiales; Euphorbiaceae
Source: RNAcentral
GGACACUGCUCGUGUUGAGCUGUUAUCCUUCCACCCCUGUGCUCAAGUUCCAGAGCAUGGUAAUGAGAAGCAAUCACUUAUGUUCUCACCACCAUUAGGAAGUUUUGUAUUGAUGCGUUAUCAGGCAUUUUGUGGUAUGGGACCUCCAAUUAAGGGUUUUUAUCAGCUUUCAAUGGUUUCUGAAAAUGAAGGUGCAUUUUUGUUUAAGUUACGGCUCAUGGAAGGUUAUAGAGCUCCUCUGUCAAUGGAUUUCUGCACUGUGACAAUGCCCUUCCCUAGGAGAAGGGUACUUUCUUUUGAUGGCACACCUUCUAUUGGAACAGUUUCAGUUGCUGAACACUUGGUUGAAUGGAAAAUUAUAACGACUGGUCGAGGAAUUUCAGGAAAAAGUGUUGAGGCAACAUUUCCAGGAACAGUGAAGUUCGCUCCAUGGCAACCUCAAAGAUUGCCUACCUCAGGGGCAGUACUUGGGAAUAUGGAAGAUGAAGAGAGUGAUGCUGAAACAGAGUCAACAAAUAAUAUGGCAAAUGUGGAAGAUUUCUUAAUGGAAAAAAUGAACAAGGAUCUUCAAGCAGUUGAUUUGGAGGAGCCAUUUUGCUGGCAAGC